Molecule: small RNA, 761 nt
Filed under: Pongo abelii (Sumatran orangutan)
Lineage: Eukaryota; Metazoa; Chordata; Mammalia; Primates; Hominidae
Description: retained intron
Source: RNAcentral
GAUAUGGGUGUAGGACUUGUGAUGCCAAUCCUGUGCCAGUCGGGAGGCCCAGGGCAUGGGGAUGGCCGGGCUACCCAGCGAGCUGUUGGCUGUGCCGGGACAGACUCCAGGCUCCCAGUGGCCCUGCUCUGAAGCGUGGCUCUGUCUCGCCACCUGGGGGCAGCCAGGUCCCCCUCCCCACCCCGCCGCAGGAGACUGGCCGUCCCUGCCAGCCUCGACGUUUCUGACAACUGGCUUCGGCCGGAGCCCCCUGGCCAGGAAGCCCGAGUGCAGAGCUGGAAGGAAGAGAAGAAACCCCACCUUCAGGGCAAACCAGGGAGACCCUCUUCCCCGGCCAAUGUCCCUGCUCUGCCUGGCGAGACGGUGACCUCCCCAGUCAGGGUGAGUAGCGAUGGGGAGCCGGGCAGGGGCCCAGCCCUCCGGCAUCCUCACCGCCCCUCCGUUCCCAGCUGCACCCCGACUACCUCUCCCCGGAGGAGAUACAGAGGCAGCUGCAGGACAUCGAGAGGCGGCUGGAUGCCCUGGAGCUCCGCGGCGUGGAGCUGGAGAAGCGACUGCGGGCGGCCGAGGGAGGUCCAAGGCCCAGCGUCUGGAGGAGCAGCAGCUGGACAUCGAGGGCGAGCUGCGCCGGCUCAUGGCCAAGCCUGAGGCUCUGAAGUCACUGCAGGAGCGGCGGCGGGAGCAGGAGCUGCUGGAGUGGUACGUGAGCACCGUGAACGACCGCAGUGACAUCGUGGACUCGCUGGACGAGGACCGGCUCC